GGUAACGGGGAAUUAGGGUUCGAUUCCGGAGAGGGAGCCUGAGAAACGGCUACCACAUCUAAGGAAGGCAGCAGGCGCGCAAAUUACCCAAUCCUAACACAGGGAGGUAGUGACAAGAAAUAACAAUACGAGGUUUAAUACUUUGUAAUUGGAAUGACGGGAAUUUAAAACCUUUCCGGAGUACCAAUUGGAGGGCAAGUCUGGUGCCAGCAGCCGCGGUAAUUCCAGCUCCAAUAGCGUAUAUUAAAUUUGUUGCAGUUAAAAAGCUCGUAGUUGAAUUUCUGCUGCAUCGUUGAUAUCCCUUUUCGGGUUUUUCUUCGUUGUGGCUUUUUCUGGUUUUAUAUCUUCGGAUUUAUUUCCAGAUUGUUACUUUGAGAAAAUUAGAGUGCUUCAAGCAGGCUUUUGCCUUGAAUACUUUAGCAUGGAAUAACUAAGUAGGACUUUGGUUCUAUUUUGUUGGUUUAAGAGCCAAAGUAAUGAUUAAUAGGAACAGUUGGGGGCAUUCGUAUUUAACU
RNAcentral lists this ribosomal RNA (515 nucleotides) under Piroplasmida sp. Its description in RNAcentral is "bacterial SSU rRNA". It matches the Rfam family "Eukaryotic small subunit ribosomal RNA", at positions 358 to 903 of the family's 1831-position model. The record is from RNAcentral. Lineage: Eukaryota; Apicomplexa; Aconoidasida; Piroplasmida.